AGCGGAACUAUGUGGUUGAAACUUGUGGUUGAAAUUUGUGGUUGAAUAGUUAGUUCUCUGUCUGCCCUGCGUGGUGUUUCAGUGAGCCCGUAUAUACGAACAUCAUAUUUACCAUUCAAGAGUUUGCAUUAAUUAAAGUACAAAGAAAUUAGUAGUUACUCUGUACUGACUAUUUUAUUCCAAUACCAGAUUCGAAUUGACACAACCCAACAGUAGCAAGAUGACGAAGAAACAAUUGAAUUCACUCUCCAUAACCCCAUACUACCAGUGCCAGCCCAUAGCCAAAUGUUUAUCUAGCUAGUUAACGUUAGCACAACAUAGCUAGCCUGCUAAGAACACUACACAGGUAGUUGUUUAAUAGAAACAAAUCCAUUGUGAUUUCAUUAUGUUUAUACUAGCUACAGGUUAGCUAGCUUAGAUGAAGUAUUUAGUGUUGUGUGCAUUGCCUCUGUGCAGUUAGCAAGCUACCAUCUGAUCGCCUACAUCGAAUAUGAAGUGUGACUGGCUGAGAUUUAAAAGGAGAAAUUCAUCCUGGGGGAAUCUGGGCUUGUUUUCAUCAUGUCUGAGGCAUUUCUAAGUCAGUGAGAUGACAUAAUUGCCCAGGAGAUACACCCUAUGCGGAUGAAUUGCUAAAUUUACAAACGGAGAAUUUUUUUCCAGUCUCUGAAAGACUACAACUCGUGUGUGGCAGUACUUCGUGCUCUGGCCCCAUCCCUCCCCAAGGCAGGCUUUUUUGAAAGGGAGGUGGACACUAACACAAUCCUUUGGGGAAAACUGAAAGAACUAACCAGACUGGGAUGGCUUUAAGUGAUUCCUCUCAUCAACACAAAUUCGCUAAUGGAGCAUUUUUUAAUGUUCUAUUAGCUACAUGGUGACAUUCAACCAUACAUGUUUCAACAGGCUCUAGCAAAGAGGAUUCGAAACAAAGAGUUGGAUUUAGCUAGAAGCUCAGUUACAGCCGAUGCCAGUACGAAGAGGGCAGAAGACAAACAUGGUGUCUAGCUAAACAAUUCGAGUGGUGCCUGGGCUUCUUCCUGGAGUGGAUUCUAGAUGGAGAGAAACAGAAUUCCUUUGCCAGUGUGUGUCAUUGUAGCAGAGCUGUAUCCCUCUCGAUGGAUUGGACAUUAUGCUGGAUUUCAAGCAGAAGAUGACUCAAGAGGAGCUGAAUGGCAGUUUGAUCAUGACAACACGCCUCCCACAGCUGUACAAGUAUGGCUCCCAAGUGACGCAGUGGUCUAAGACACUUCAUCUCAGUGCAAGAGGCGUCACUGCACUACCUGGUUAGAAUCCAGGCUGCAUCACAUCCGGCCACGAUUGGGAGUCCCAUAGGGCGGCGCGUAGGCUGUGUCAGGCCAUCAUUGUAAAUAAGAAUUUGUUCUUAACUGACUUGCCUAGUUAAAUAAAUAAUUCUCUGAACUUUACUUCACUGAUCAUACUGUAUGUUUCUUUGGGAAUGACAAUUUCAACAUGACUACCUCUCCCAUCAUCUGCUGAUCACCAGUUCUCUUAGCUACAGAUUGUUAAACCAGAUAAUGUGAUUUAACCAUUACUGGGACUUACAGGACAGGUACUGUUUGGUGUAGCAAAGAGAAUCUUCAACCAACCUUAGCGAUGCUGUCUUCGUCCUUGAUUUGUGGAAACAGGAGUCUCAUAAAAUGUCUGUCCAGUUGCAGGGGGUCAGUUUGAAUUGAGAAAAUACUCAAUUAUUAAAAAUGAAUACUUUUUCUGCUCCAUGAAGUAAUACAACAAUAUGUAUGCCACCAUCUUGUCUUUUUCAAGUCUUCUCUCAUUGAUCUAGACAGGUCUGUCAUCAUGACAUGCGACACUUUGGGGUGGACACCCACCUGUCUCGAUCAAUGAGGGUAAACUUGAAAUAUAAAACAUGGCGGGGUUGUACAAUUAUUCUGGGUUAUACUUGUAAAACCAUUGCAGUAAAAUGUUAAGACCUUUGCUUCACAGUUA
Molecule: long non-coding RNA, 1962 nt
Organism: Salmo salar (Atlantic salmon)
Lineage: Eukaryota; Metazoa; Chordata; Actinopteri; Salmoniformes; Salmonidae
Source: RefSeq, a predicted model, not a curated record